ACCAUCCUCCAAGGCUAAAUACUACUGACUGACCGAUAGUGAACCAGUACCGUGAGGGAAAGGCGAAAAGAACCCCUGUGAGGGGAGUGAAAUAGAACCUGAAACCGUGUACGUACAAGCAGUAGGAGCAGGCUUUGUCCUGUGACUGCGUACCUUUUGUAUAAUGGGUCAGCGACUUAUAUUCAGUGGCAAGGUUAACCAUCUAGGGGAGCCGUAGGGAAACCGAGUCUUAACUGGGCGUUCAGUCUCUGGAUAUAGACCCGAAACCAGGUGAUCUAGCCAUGGGCAGGUUGAAGGUUGAGUAACAUCAACUGGAGGACCGAACCGACUAAUGUUGAAAAAUUAGCGGAUGACUUGUGGCUAGGGGUGAAAGGCCAAUCAAACCUGGAGAUAGCUGGUUCUCCCCGAAAGCUAUUUAGGUAGCGCCUCGGACGAAUACUACUGGGGGUAGAGCACUGUUAAGGCUAGGGGGUCAUCCCGACUUACCAACCCUUUGCAAACUCCGAAUACCAGUAAGUACUAUCCGGGAGACACACGGCGGGUGCUAACGUCCGUCGUGGAGAGGGAAACAACCCAGACCGCCAGCUAAGGUCCCAAAUUACUACUAAGUGGGAAACGAUGUGGGAAGGCUCAGACAGCCAGGAUGUUGGCUUAGAAGCAGCCAUCAUUUAAAGAAAGCGUAAUAGCUCACUGGUCGAGUCGGCCUGCGCGGAAGAUGUAACGGGGCUAAGUAGUAAACCG
RNAcentral lists this ribosomal RNA (741 nucleotides) under Vibrio parahaemolyticus. RNAcentral's name for it is "partial 23S ribosomal RNA". It matches the Rfam family "Bacterial large subunit ribosomal RNA", at positions 452 to 1196 of the family's 2925-position model. Lineage: Bacteria; Pseudomonadati; Pseudomonadota; Gammaproteobacteria; Vibrionales; Vibrionaceae. The record is from RNAcentral.